AAGCGGUGGAGCAUGUGGUUUAAUUCGAAGCAACGCGAAAAACCUUACCAGGUCUUGACAUCCCGAUGCUAUUCUAGAGAUAGAAAGUUACUUCGGUACAUCGGUGACAGGUGGUGCAUGGUUGUCGUCAGCUCGUGUCGUGAGAUGUUGGGUUAAGUCCCGCAACGAGCGCAACUCCUAUUGUUAGUUGCCAUCAUUCAGUUGGGCACUCUAGCGAGACUACCGGUAAUAAACCGGAGGAAGGUGGGAUGACGUCAAAUCAUCAUGCCCCUUAUGACCUGGGCUACACACGUGCUACAAUGGUUGGUACAACGAGUUGCGAGUCGGUGACGGCGAGCUAAUCUCUUAAAGCCAAUCUCAGCUCGGAUUGUAGGCUGCAACUCGCCUACAUGAAGUCGGAAUCGCUAGUAAUCGCGGAUCAGCACGCCGCGGUGAAUACGUUCCCGGGCCUU
RNAcentral lists this ribosomal RNA (452 nucleotides) under uncultured Streptococcus sp. Its description in RNAcentral is "bacterial SSU rRNA". It matches the Rfam family "Bacterial small subunit ribosomal RNA", at positions 927 to 1382 of the family's 1533-position model. The record is from RNAcentral. Lineage: Bacteria; Bacillati; Bacillota; Bacilli; Lactobacillales; Streptococcaceae.